GACGAAGGUGGCAAGCGUUGCUCGGAAUCACUGGGCCUAAAGCGCGCGUAGGUGGCUUGAUAAGUCGGUGGUGAAAUCCCAUGGCUCAACCAUGGAACUGCCGUCGAUACUGUCAGGCUUGAGGGCGGUAGGGGAGAGUGGAACUCCUGGUGUAGCGGUGAAAUGCGCAGAUAUCAGGAGGAACACCGGUGGCGAAGGCGGGUCUCUGGGCCGAUACUGACGCUGAGGAGCGAAAGCGUGGGGAGCGAACAGG
This 253-nucleotide ribosomal RNA is filed under the name uncultured bacterium. Its description in RNAcentral is "partial 16S ribosomal RNA". It matches the Rfam family "Bacterial small subunit ribosomal RNA", at positions 524 to 776 of the family's 1533-position model. The record is from RNAcentral.